RNAcentral lists this ribosomal RNA (497 nucleotides) under uncultured bacterium. RNAcentral's name for it is "partial 16S ribosomal RNA". It matches the Rfam family "Bacterial small subunit ribosomal RNA", at positions 28 to 507 of the family's 1533-position model. The record is from RNAcentral.
GAUGAACGCUGGCGGCGUGCCUAAUACAUGCAAGUCGAGCGAACGGACGAGAAGUUGGCCUCGCUGAUGUUAGCGGCGGACGGGUGAGUAACACGUGGAUAACCCACGUAGAAGACUGUGAUCACUCCGGGAAACCGGAGCUAAUACCGGAUAACAUUUUGAACCGCAUGGUUCAAAAGUGAAAGACGGCCUUGCGGUCACUUAUAGAUGGAUCCGCGCUGCAUUAGCUAGUUGGUAAGGUAACGGCUUACCAAGGCAACGAUGAGUAGCUGACCUGAGAGGGUGAUCGGCCACACUGGAACUGAGACACGGCCCAGACUCCUACGGGAGGCAGCAGUAGGGAAUCUUGCGCAAUGGGCGAAAGCCUGACGGAGCAACGCCGCGUGAGUGAUGAAGGUCUUCGGAUCGUAAAACUCUGUUAUUAGGGAAGAACAUAUGUGUAAGUAACUGUGCACAGCUUGACGGUACCUAAUCAGAAAGCCACGGCUAACUACGUG